Mytilus californianus (California mussel) is the source of this 2679-nucleotide long non-coding RNA. RefSeq lists it as uncharacterized. The record is from RefSeq and is a predicted model, not a curated record. Lineage: Eukaryota; Metazoa; Mollusca; Bivalvia; Mytilida; Mytilidae. The transcript has 2 exons.
AAUAUCAGAUAAAGGUGGAGGUAUCGCUCAUGACAUUGUAAAACAAGUGUGGGACUAUAACUUCACUACAUCUGGAACAGACGAGAGGGUCAACACAGGACUGUUUGAUGAGAUUACAAGUCCUCAACAUAUGAGUGGUUCUGCUCCUGGCAGAAUGCAUGGAUAUGGAUUUGGGUUACCAGGUUCCAAAGCCUAUGUGGAGUUCUUAGGAGGAUCCCUAACAAUAGAGACGAUGCAGGGAAUCGGUACAGACGUGUAUCUACGGUUACCUCACAUUGACGGAGACAGAGAUAGUGGACAUCGGGAACCAUUCAGGAUAUAAAUAUUUCAUCACAUGCUUUUCACAUUCUUGGUAACCAUGGGAACACAUUUAAUAUUGCUGCUGUAUUACUUUUUUUCAUGCAAAUUUUGUUCAUAAACUGUUCAUCGUCAAUGAUUUCAUAUAGUUUGUAUUUAAAAAAAAUGCACUAGGAACAAAAUGUUCAAGGUAAAUUGUAGAAACCUGUAAUAUUUGUUCAAUUUAUGUGUUCCUUCAGUUUAAUUUGUAUGAAUAUUAUAAUGAAGCUAGUCGUGAUUAGUUGAUAUGAAAAAAGAAAAAUGUAGUCUAAUACAAUGUUGUCUCAUAGUAUCACAUGUUGAUGUCUCAAUGUUUACAUUGUCCUAAAUUGACAUCCUCUUGGAUCACAACUUAUUACACUUUGGGAUUUAGUUUGGUGGAUAUUUUCUGACUAAUCCUCCACCAAAUCUUGUUCCAGCUAUGUAUAGUCAUUUUUGGAAUAAUUUGAUGCAAGACAAAUGUAACCCAGGUAUUUUUUUCAGUGCUGAAACUAUGUCAAAAUGAAAGCAAGGAUCAUUCAAUAAAAAGAUAUUUUUUUCCUCAAUAAUUUAAAGAAUUUUCUGCUUUGAAUACUUCUUGUAUUGUCAUUUGUAAAAAUGUUCCCUUCAAAACUUUUAACCAUGUUUUUGUUUUGUUCUUGUGCAUUUUCUGCCAAGGUCAGAAGAUCGUUUAAAAUGGAUUAAAUACUGGUAUAUUUAGUGUUGAUAAUUUAAAAUCUAAUUAUAACUUUGAUGAUUUGUAACUGUUCGGUCAGUGUAAUCAUUUUCCGUCCGAAAUUCAGUGAAAAAAGUGAAUCUCCGGAAUUUAUAAAUGAAUCUCAUUAUAGAAAGAAAUUUGAAAAGCUUGGUACUGAAAUCCUUUUGUAAAUCAGUACAUUAUUUAUUGAGCUUAUUUUGUUGUUUACAUCCAUCAUAUAUAUAUAUAGCUUUCUAACUUUUCAUUUAUUUACAAGACUUUUUUUUAUGCCACUGUAUAUUUGUCAUUCAUAAAUUCGCAUAAAAUGUUAUCUGAUUUUAAUGUAAGUUUGUCUCCCCUUAGUAGACCUUGAUAUAAUUUAACUUUUUACAGAUGUAAAGAUCUUGAUCCUUAUAAAUAAAAUUUGCUCCUUAUUUCUUCAUGAAGUUGGCAUUUUUUUUAAGACAAUAGCCUUAAAGUGCUGUUGAAUUGUACAAGUUUUUACAAGGACAUCCUGAUAGUGCUUUCAAAUAGUACUAGAUUUUACAUCCGUGUUCAAAUGUUAGGUGCUUUGUUUGAUGUGUGAUAGGCUUAAAGUGUAAAUAAUCACAAUUUUUUUCCCAGAAGGAUCAUAAAGUUUACUGAAUUAGUAUGUGUGGAAUCUCUUUGAGUUUUUGUCUAUUCACUGCAGUUAUUUGUUUAAAAUUAAUCAUUUUAGAUUCAAUAUGUAUAAAAGUUUAUUUAUAUUUAUUUCACAUUAACAAAUUUUACUUUAUACAGAAAUAAAGAGUACUAGUUGUAUUGAAUUUAUAUUUAUUAUUUAUCAGUCAAAUUGAAACUUUAGUUGUGGUUUUAAUAAAGCUUAAAAAGCAAUGAAGAUGAAUUUCAUUUAAUUUUAUGUAGCAGUUACAUAUAUUUUCAUCCUAAAUCAUACAUAUGCCAUGAAUACUCCAAGUCUUCAUUUGCUAUUGACGUGUAUUUCAUCAAUGUGUCAAUAUGUCUGUCUUUAAUAUUUAUAUUUGCUUGGUCAAGUUUAUUUAUAAUUUUACAUAAAUAAGUUAAUUUCCUGUAGAUUUACACAGGAAAUAUGUGCUUAACACUUACUUGCUUUGCUUUGAUAUUGAAGAUGAAUUUCAUAUAUUGUAUAAAUGUUAAUGUUAACAUUGAUCUUUGAUGGUAUUUAUGGUAUUUGUCUACAUGACUAUGAUUUGUGUUAGUUAUAAUAUAUUUUACGAAUUUUCAAUGUUGGCAUAUUGUCAAUUGUUUUAGUCAGUUAUGAAUGUAGAUUUUGAGUGGAAUUAUGCCAUGAAUAUAGAUGUGGGCAUUAAAAUUCACAUAAAACUGUUGGACAAACAAGAAACCAAAUGAUAUUGUAAUGUUAUUGUUAAAUGUCAAGACUUGUAUGAAGGGGGAAUCACCACUGUAGCAUGAAAAAAGGACAAUUUGUGUCAACUCAGUAUUUGAAAGGAUAAUGAAGAUAUAACUUGAUACUGUACAGUGAGAUGGACAGGAUUCAGUGAAAAUUUACAAAUGAAUUUUAGAAUUUGUAAUGAUAGCACAUGUUUAUAUGUUAAGCCUAAUAUGUAAUGUUUCAUUGUUUGUUAAUUGUCUGAGGUAAGAGGGACAUAUGGAAUCUUCAGGUAUGAAUAAACUCCAGCAUUUCACUA